This 30-nucleotide non-coding RNA is filed under the name Rattus norvegicus (Norway rat). Lineage: Eukaryota; Metazoa; Chordata; Mammalia; Rodentia; Muridae. The record is from RNAcentral.
UAGGACACGCUCAAUGCCUUUGUGUGGCUU